GAUGAACGCUGGCGGCGUGCCUAAUACAUGCAAGUCGAGCGAACGGACGAGAAGCUUGCUUCUCUGAUGUUAGCGGCGGACGGGUGAGUAACACGUGGAUAACCUACCUAUAAGACUGGGAUAACUUCGGGAAACCGGAGCUAAUACCGGAUAAUAUUUUGAACCGCAUGGUUCAAAAGUGAAAGACGGUCUUGCUGUCACUUAUAGAUGGAUCCGCGCUGCAUUAGCUAGUUGGUAAGGUAACGGCUUACCAAGGCAACGAUGCAUAGCCGACCUGAGAGGGUGAUCGGCCACACUGGAACUGAGACACGGUCCAGACUCCUACGGGAGGCAGCAGUAGGGAAUCUUCCGCAAUGGGCGAAAGCCUGACGGAGCAACGCCGCGUGAGUGAUGAAGGUCUUCGGAUCGUAAAACUCUGUUAUUAGGGAAGAACACAUGUGUAAGUAACUGUGCACAUCUUGACGGUACCUAAUCAGAAAGCCACGGCUAACUACGUGCCAGCAGCCGCGGUAAUACGUAGGUGGCAAGCGUUAUCCGGAAUUAUUGGGCGUAAAGCGCGCGUAGGCGGUUUUUUAAGUCUGAUGUGAAAGCCCACGGCUCAACCGUGGAGGGUCAUUGGAAACUGGAAAACUUGAGUGCAGAAGAGGAAAGUGGAAUUCCAUGUGUAGCGGUGAAAUGCGCAGAGAUAUGGAGGAACACCAGUGGCGAAGGCGACUUUCUGGUCUGUAACUGACGCUGAUGUGCGAAAGCGUGGGGAUCAAACAGGAUUAGAUACCCUGGUAGUCCACGCCGUAAACGAUGAGUGCUAAGUGUUAGGGGGUUUCCGCCCCUUAGUGCUGCAGCUAACGCAUUAAGCACUCCGCCUGGGGAGUACGACCGCAAGGUUGAAACUCAAAGGAAUUGACGGGGACCCGCACAAGCGGUGGAGCAUGUGGUUUAAUUCGAAGCAACGCGAAGAACCUUACCAAAUCUUGACAUCCUUUGACAACUCUAGAGAUAGAGCCUUCCCCUUCGGGGGACAAAGAGACAGGUGGUGCAUGGUUGUCGUCAGCUCGUGUCGUGAGAUGUUGGGUUAAGUCCCGCAACGAGCGCAACCCUUAAGCUUAGUUGCCAUCAUUAAGUUGGGCACUCUAAGUUGACUGCCGGUGACAAACCGGAGGAAGGUGGGGAUGACGUCAAAUCAUCAUGCCCCUUAUGAUUUGGGCUACACACGUGCUACAAUGGACAAUACAAAGGGCAGCGAAACCGCGAGGUCAAGCAAAUCCCAUAAAGUUGUUCUCAGUUCGGAUUGUAGUCUGCAACUCGACUACAUGAAGCUGGAAUCGCUAGUAAUCGUAGAUCAGCAUGCUACGGUGAAUACGUUCCCGGGUCU
This 1372-nucleotide ribosomal RNA is filed under the name uncultured bacterium. RNAcentral describes it as "bacterial SSU rRNA". It matches the Rfam family "Bacterial small subunit ribosomal RNA", at positions 28 to 1381 of the family's 1533-position model. The record is from RNAcentral.